RNAcentral lists this ribosomal RNA (395 nucleotides) under Gobiodon erythrospilus. RNAcentral describes it as "partial 12S ribosomal RNA". It matches the Rfam family "Bacterial small subunit ribosomal RNA", at positions 793 to 1392 of the family's 1533-position model. The record is from RNAcentral. Lineage: Eukaryota; Metazoa; Chordata; Actinopteri; Gobiiformes; Gobiidae.
AUGCUAGCCCUAAACAGACAAUCAUUUUACAAUCGUUUUUCGCCAGGGAACAACGAGCCUCAGCUUAAAACCCAAAGGACUUGGCGGUGCUUUAGACCCCCCUAGAGGAGCCUGUCCUAGAACCGAUAAUCCCCGUUUAACCUCACCCCCUCUUGUUCUUUUCCGCCUGUAUACCUCCGUCUUCAGCUCACCCUGUGAGGGCCUAGUAGUGAGCAAAAUUGGCAAUGCCUAAAACGUCAGGUCGAGGUGCAGCUUAUGAGGGGGGAAGAGAUGGGCUACAUUUUCUGCCCCAGAAAAUACGAAUUUUGCCCUGAAAAAGCAUCUGAAGGUGGAUUUAGCAGUAAGGGGAGAUUAGAGCGCUCCCCUGAAGCCGGCCCUAAAGCGCGUACACACCG